GGUUAAGCGACUAAGCGUACACGGUGGAUGCCCUGGCAGUCAGAGGCGAUGAAGGGCGUGCUAAUCUGCGAUAAGCGCCGGUAAGGUGAUAUGAACCGUUAUAACCGGCGAUACCCGAAUGGGGAAACCCAGUGUGACUCGUCACACUAUCAUUAACUGAAUCCAUAGGUUAAUGAGGCGAACCGGGGGAACUGAAACAUCUAAGUACCCCGAGGAAAAGAAAUCAACCGAGAUUCCCCCAGUAGCGGCGAGCGAACGGGGAGGAGCCCAGAGCCUGAAUCAGCAUGUGUGUUAGUGGAAGCGUCUGGAAAGGCGCGCGAUACAGGGUGACAGCCCCGUACACAAAAGCGUAUGUGCUGUGAGCUCGAUGAGUAGGGCGGGACACGUGGUAUCCUGUCUGAAUAUGGGGGGACCAUCCUCCAAGGCUAAAUACUCCUGACUGACCGAUAGUGAACCAGUACCGUGAGGGAAAGGCGAAAAGAACCCCGGCGAGGGGAGUGAAAAAGAACCUGAAACCGUGUACGUACAAGCAGUGGGAGCCCCACCACUAAGCCAGUGGUGAACUCCACAUACGCAUCCUUUGCUGAGGAUACGGUUAACGGAGCGAAAGCGACGUUCAACCGCAAAAGAAGCAGAGGGGGCUUAGUGGUGG
This 652-nucleotide ribosomal RNA is filed under the name Salmonella enterica. RNAcentral describes it as "partial 23S ribosomal RNA". It matches the Rfam family "Bacterial large subunit ribosomal RNA", at positions 1 to 677 of the family's 2925-position model. RNAcentral also lists the same sequence under 1 other name. The record is from RNAcentral. Lineage: Bacteria; Pseudomonadati; Pseudomonadota; Gammaproteobacteria; Enterobacterales; Enterobacteriaceae.